Molecule: ribosomal RNA, 505 nt
Filed under: Coxiella endosymbiont of Haemaphysalis bandicota
Lineage: Bacteria; Pseudomonadati; Pseudomonadota; Gammaproteobacteria; Legionellales; Coxiellaceae
Description: bacterial SSU rRNA
Rfam family: Bacterial small subunit ribosomal RNA
Source: RNAcentral
GUUGACGUUACCUACAGAAGAAGCACUGGCUAACUCUGUGCCAGCAGCCGCGGUAAUACAGAGAGUGCAAGCGUUAAUCGGAAUUACUGGGCGUAAAGCGCGCGUAGGUGGAUACUUAAGUCGGAUGUGAAAGCCCUGGGCUUAACCUGGGAAUUGCACCCGAUACUGGGUAUCUCGAGUAUGGUAGAGGGAAGUGGAAUUUCCGGUGUAGCGGUGAAAUGCGUAGAUAUCGGAAAGAACACCAGUGGCGAAGGCGGCUUCCUGGACCAAUACUGACACUGAGGUGCGAAAGCGUGGGGAGCAAACAGGAUUAGAGACCCUGGUAGUCCACGCCGUCAACGAUGAGAACUAGCUGUUGGAGAGUUUACUUUCUAGUAGCGAAGCUAACGCGUUAAGUUCUCCGCCUGGGGAGUACGGCCGCAAGGUUAAAACUCAAAGAAAUUGACGGGGGCCCGCACAAGCGGUGGAGCAUGUGGUUUAAUUCGAUGCAACGCGAAAAACCUUA